RNAcentral lists this ribosomal RNA (253 nucleotides) under uncultured bacterium. RNAcentral describes it as "partial 16S ribosomal RNA". It matches the Rfam family "Bacterial small subunit ribosomal RNA", at positions 524 to 776 of the family's 1533-position model. The record is from RNAcentral.
UACAGAGGGUACGAGCGUUAAUCGGAAUUACUGGGCGUAAAGCGCACGUAGGUGGCGACGUAAGUCGGGUGUGAAAGCCCCGGGCUCAACCUGGGAAUUGCAUUCGAGACUGCAUUGCUGGAGUACGGAAGAGGAAGGCGGAAUUCCCGGUGUAGCGGUGAAAUGCGUAGAUAUCGGGAGGAACAUCAGUGGCGAAGGCGGCCUUCUGGUCCAGUACUGACACUCAAGUGCGAAAGCGUGGGGAGCAAACAGG